RNAcentral lists this ribosomal RNA (389 nucleotides) under uncultured soil bacterium. RNAcentral's name for it is "bacterial SSU rRNA". It matches the Rfam family "Bacterial small subunit ribosomal RNA", at positions 26 to 404 of the family's 1533-position model. The record is from RNAcentral.
AGAUUGAACGCUGGCGGCAUGCCUUACACAUGCAAGUCGAACGGCAGCACGGGAGCAAUCCUGGUGGCGAGUGGCGAACGGGUGAGUAAUAUAUCGGAACGUGCCCAGUAGCGGGGGAUAACUACGCGAAAGCGUGGCUAAUACCGCAUACGCCCGUACGGGGGGAAAGGGGGGAUCGCAAGACCUCUCACUAUUGGAGCGGCCGAUAUCAGAUUAGCUUAGUGGUGAGGUAAAGCUACACAAGGCGACGAUCUGUAGCGUUGGUUUAGAGGACGGACGACCAGCCACACGUGGGACUGAGACACGGCCCAGACUCCGUAGGGAGCAGCAGGUGGGUAAUUUUGGAACUAAGUCGGGGAAACCCUGACUCCGAGCCACGUCCCGCGUGU